Molecule: unclassified non-coding RNA, 344 nt
Filed under: soil metagenome
Description: partial contains 5.8S ribosomal RNA, internal transcribed spacer 2, and large subunit ribosomal RNA
Rfam family: 5.8S ribosomal RNA (bases 4-119)
Source: RNAcentral
GAUAAGAACGCAGCGAAAUGCGAUACGUAAUGUGAAUUGCAGAAUUCAGUGAAUCAUCGAGUCUUUGAACGCACAUUGCGCCCCCUGGUAUUCCGGGGGGCAUGCCUGUCCGAGCGUCAUUGCUGCCCUCAAGCACGGCUUGUGUGUUGGGCCUCCGUCCUCCUCCCGGGGGACGGGCCCGAAAGGCAGCGGCGGCACCGCGUCCGGUCCUCGAGCGUAUGGGGCUUCGUCACCCGCUCUUGUAGGCCCGGCCGGCGCUUGCCGACACAUCAAUCUUUUUUCCAGGUUGACCUCCGAUCAGGUAGGGAUACCCGCUGAACUUAAGCAUAUCAAUAAGCGGAGGA